RNAcentral lists this ribosomal RNA (336 nucleotides) under Triticum aestivum (bread wheat). RNAcentral describes it as "partial small subunit ribosomal RNA". Lineage: Eukaryota; Viridiplantae; Streptophyta; Magnoliopsida; Poales; Poaceae. The record is from RNAcentral.
AGCAUCGCAGACCGUCUUAACUGUCAGCUCGGGAGCUUCCCCACGACUUAUUUGGGAAUCCCCAUUAGUAACACGCGGUUCACGGUGGCCGAGCUACGCCCCAUGGUGGGCAAGCUCCAACACCGCAUCGAGCCUUGGCAGGGGCGGUGUCUCUCUAAAGCAGCCCGAACGGUGCUCAUUAACUCGUCCUUAUCUAACCUGCUCCUAUUCAUUAUGAGCUUCUACAGCCUGCCUGAGACUCUGCACCAUGAGAUCGCCAGAGUCCAGGGACGCUUCUUCUGGGCUGGCGAGGGCGAUAAGCAGAAGUACAACAUGGUUCGGUGGACUGAGAUCUAA